GUACUACUGAAGAGUCCCAAAUUAGGACAAAACGACUGUCUAGUAC
RNAcentral lists this non-coding RNA (46 nucleotides) under Trichobilharzia regenti. The record is from RNAcentral. Lineage: Eukaryota; Metazoa; Platyhelminthes; Trematoda; Strigeidida; Schistosomatidae.